GGGAGAGGGGAAAAAGGGAACUCCCCUGAUCAUGGUGGCAGUUGCCAAUUUUGGACUUUCAGGGAGAUCUCUUCCACCACCGGAUUCAGCAAGGAAGUCUUGAGGAAGAACUGCUUCAUCCUCCAAAUUUGAUCGAGCAGGGAGAUGUCCUCCACAGCUGGAUCUAAGAAGCAGUGAUUGUUGAUCAGCAGGUUCAGCUGGUGCCUAUUAAUCUUCAAACUGUCGGCACCUUUGUCUUCCACCAUGGGUGUGUGUUGAUCAAAUGCAUGUGUACCUCCUGCAACAUGGUUAGUGCAAUGUGGUUCUACAGAAAUAACAUGCAGGGGUAUAACACCC
This 336-nucleotide long non-coding RNA is filed under the name Vigna radiata. RNAcentral describes it as "long non-coding RNA (VRAD_LNC006200)". Lineage: Eukaryota; Viridiplantae; Streptophyta; Magnoliopsida; Fabales; Fabaceae. The record is from RNAcentral.